RNAcentral lists this unclassified non-coding RNA (337 nucleotides) under soil metagenome. RNAcentral's name for it is "partial contains 5.8S ribosomal RNA, internal transcribed spacer 2, and large subunit ribosomal RNA". The stretch from base 1 to 120 matches the Rfam family "5.8S ribosomal RNA", at positions 35 to 154 of the family's 154-position model. The record is from RNAcentral.
GAUGAAGAACGUAGUGAAACGCGAUAUGUAAUGUGAAUUGCAGAAUUCAGUGAAUCAUCGAAUCUUUGAACGCACAUUGCGCCCCUUGGUAUUCCAUGGGGCAUGCCUGUUCGAGCGUCAUUUGUACCUUCAAGCUCUGCUUGGUGUUGGGUGUUUGUCUCGCCUCUGCGUGUAGACUCGCCUCAAAACAAUUGGCAGCCGGCGUAUUGAUUUCGGAGCGCAGUACAUCUCGCGCUUUGCACUCAUAACGACGACGUCCAAAAGUACAUUUUUACACUCUUGACCUCGGAUCAGGUAGGGAUACCCGCUGAACUUAAGCAUAUCAAUAAGCGGAGGA